This 202-nucleotide ribosomal RNA is filed under the name uncultured bacterium. RNAcentral's name for it is "partial 16S ribosomal RNA". It matches the Rfam family "Bacterial small subunit ribosomal RNA", at positions 1301 to 1500 of the family's 1533-position model. The record is from RNAcentral.
UAGGCUGAAACUCGCCUACAUGAAGCUGGAGUUGCUAGUAAUCGCGAAUCAGCAUGUCGCGGUGAAUACGUUCCCGGGCCUUGUACACACCGCCCGUCACACCAUGAGAGUUGGCAAUACCCAACGUACGUGAUCUAACCCGCAAGUGAGGAAGCGUCCUAAGGUAGGGUCAGCGAUUGGGGUGAAGUCGUAACAAGGUAGC